RNAcentral lists this ribosomal RNA (863 nucleotides) under uncultured Acidobacteriota bacterium. RNAcentral's name for it is "bacterial SSU rRNA". It matches the Rfam family "Bacterial small subunit ribosomal RNA", at positions 58 to 901 of the family's 1533-position model. The record is from RNAcentral. Lineage: Bacteria; Pseudomonadati; Acidobacteriota.
CAAGUCGAACGCGAAAGGGGCUUCGGCCCUGAGUAGAGUGGCGAACGGGUGAGUAACGCGUGGGUGACCUACCUUCGAGUGGGGGAUAACGUCCCGAAAGGGACGCUAAUACCGCAUGACAUCCUGCCCUUGAAUGGGUGGAGAUCAAAGCCGGGGAUCGCAAGACCUGGCGCUUGGAGAGGGGCCCGCGUCCGAUUAGCUAGUUGGUGGGGUAAUGGCUCACCAAGGCAACGAUCGGUAGCCGGCCUGAGAGGGCGGACGGCCACACUGGGACUGAGACACGGCCCAGACUCCUACGGGAGGCAGCAGUGGGGAAUUGUUCACAAUGGGCGCAAGCCUGAUGACGCAACGCCGCGUGGAGGAUGAAGGUCUUCGGAUUGUAAACUCCUGUUGCUCGGGAAGAAAAGCUCCGACCUAACACGUCGGAGUCUGACGGUACCGGGUGAGGAAGCCCCGGCUAACUCUGUGCCAGCAGCCGCGGUAAUACAGAGGGGGCAAGCGUUGUUCGGAAUUACUGGGCGUAAAGGGCGCGUAGGCGGCCUGUUAAGUCGAACGUGAAAUCCCCGGGCUCAACCCGGGAACUGCGUCCGAUACUGGCAGGCUUGAAUUCGGGAGAGGGAUGUGGAAUUCCAGGUGUAGCGGUGAAAUGCGUAGAUAUCUGGAGGAACACCGGUGGCGAAGGCGGCAUCCUGGACCGAUAUUGACGCUGAUGCGCGAAAGCCAGGGGAGCAAACGGGAUUAGAUACCCCGGUAGUCCUGGCCCUAAACGAUGAAUGCUUGGUGUGGCGGGUAUCGAUCCCUGCCGUGCCGAAGCUAACGCAUUAAGCAUUCCGCCUGGGGAGUACGGUCGCAAGGCUGAAACU